AUUCUCUGUACAUAGUCCUCCUACAUGCAUGUACAGAGGGCAGCACCACCUAUUCUCUGUACAUAGUCCUCCUACAUGCAUGUACAGAGGGCAGCACCACCUAUUCUCUGUACAUAGUCCUCCUACAUGCAUGUACAGAGGGCAGCUUCAGAACGUGUUGCUGUUAUGGUUUGUAUGUGCUUGGCCCAGGGAGUGGCACUAUUAGCUGUGGCCCUGUUGGAGUAGGUGUGGCCCUGUUGGAAUAGGUGUGCCACUGUGAGUGUGGGCUAUAAGACCCUCAUCCUAGCUGCCUGGAAGCAAGUAUUCUGCUAACAGCCUUCAGAUGAAGAUGUAGAACUCUCAGCUCCUUCUGCACCAUGCCUACCUGGAUGCUGCCAUGUUCCCGAAUUGAUGAUAAUGGACCGAACCUCUGAACCUGCACAGGCAUCAGUGUCACUAGCUUGCUGCAAGCCUACAGACAGGACUGCACAGAAAGGGCAGAGCCAAGAGGAUCACGAGGCAGAGCCAGCACCCCAGCUCGCCUAUCUAGAGACACACUGCUCCUUCUGGUCCUGUCUCAGUGUUGAGCAAUGAACAGGCUGGUCAGCGUAGAACUCUUGGCUUCUUCAGCACCGCGUCUGCCUGCACACUGCCAUGCUUCCUGCCAUGAUGAUAAUGGACUAGGCCUCUGAAACUGUGAGCCAGCCCCAGUUAAAUGUUCUCCUUUAUAAGCUGCCAUGGUCAUGGUGUCUCUUCACAGCAAUGGAAACCCUAACCAAGUCAGUGGUGCAUGAUUAUAAUCUCAGGACUCAAGAUGUAAAGGCUGGAGGAUUAAAAUUUCAACUAGACAC
Apodemus sylvaticus (European woodmouse) is the source of this 830-nucleotide long non-coding RNA. RefSeq lists it as uncharacterized. The transcript has 3 exons. Lineage: Eukaryota; Metazoa; Chordata; Mammalia; Rodentia; Muridae. The record is from RefSeq and is a predicted model, not a curated record.